This 252-nucleotide ribosomal RNA is filed under the name uncultured prokaryote. RNAcentral's name for it is "partial 16S ribosomal RNA". It matches the Rfam family "Bacterial small subunit ribosomal RNA", at positions 524 to 775 of the family's 1533-position model. The record is from RNAcentral.
UACGGAGGAUGCAAGCGUUAUCCGGAUUCAUUUGGUUUAAAGGGUGCGUAGGCGGGCUAUUAAGUCAGUGGUGAAAUCCUGCAGCUUAACUGCAGAACUGCCGUUGAUACUGAUAGUCUUGAGUUUGGUUAAGGUAGGCAGAAUGUGUAAUGUAGCGGUGAAAUGCUUAGAUAUUACACAGAACACCAAUUGCGUAGGCAGCUUACUGAGCCGACACUGACGCUGAGGCACGAAAGCGUGGGGAGUCAAACA